AAGAGUUUGAUCCUGGCUCAGGACGAACGUUGGCGGCGUGCUUAACACAUGCAAGUCGAGCGGUUGAGAGGUGGGAGUUGAGAAGUUAGACAUGAGAGAAAUUAAGAGCGGCGGACGGGUGAGUAACGCGUGGAUAAUCUGCCUGUAAGACAGGGAUAACGCCGGGAAACCGGUGCUAAUACCGGAUAACCUCUUUAGACCGCAUGAUCUAAAGAGAAAAGGUGGCCUCUUUACAAUGCUACCACUUAUAGAUGAAUCCGCGUCCCAUUAGCCAGUUGGUGGGGUAAUGGCCUACCAAAGCAACGAUGGGUAGCCGGCCUGAGAGGGUGACCGGCCACACUGGAACUGAGAUACGGUCCAGACUCCUACGGGAGGCAGCAGUGGGGAAUCUUCCGCAAUGGGCGAAAGCCUGACGGAGCAACGCCGCGUGAGCGAAGAAGGUCUUCGGAUUGUAAAGCUCUGUGAUAUUGGACGAACAAUUUCCCGUAAAUAAUGGGAAGAAGGUGAGGGUACAAUAAGAGGAAGCCACGGCUAACUACGUGCCAGCAGCCGCGGUAAUACGUAGGUGGCAAACGUUGUCCGGAAUUACUGGGCGUAAAGGGCGAGUAGGUGGUUUAUUAAGUCAGAAGUGAAAACUCCAGGCUCAACUCGGAGACUGCUCCUGAAACUGUUAGACUUGAGUGCAAGAGAGGGAAGUGGAAUUCCUAGUGUAGCGGUGAAAUGCGUAGAUAUUAGGAGGAACACCAGUGGCGAAGGCGACUUCCUGGACUGUAACUGACGCUGAGGCACGAAAGCGUGGGGAGCAAACAGGAUUAGAUACCCUGGUAGUCCACGCUGUAAACGAUGAGUGCUAGGUGUCGGGCGUCAAAACUCGGUGCCGCAGCUAACGCAUUAAGCACUUCGCCUGGGGAGUACGGUCGCAAGACUGAAACUCAAAGGAAUUGACGGGGGCCCGCACAAGCGGUGGAGUAUGUGGUUUAAUUCGACGCAACCCGAAGAACCUUACCUAGUCUCGAACUUGACAGAUAUAGAAAUAUAGACUUCUUAGUUUACUAAGACACAGAGACAGGUGGUGCAUGGUUGUCGUCAGCUCGUGUCGUGAGAUGUUGGGUUAAGUCCCGCAACGAGCGCAACCCUUAUUGCUAGUUACCAGCAUUAAGUUGGGCACUCUAACGAGACUGCCGGUGUCAAAUCGGAGGAAGGUGGGGAUGACGUCAAAUCAUCAUGCCCCUUAUGAUCUGGGCUACACACGUGCUACAAUGGCCGGUACAACGGGCAGCGAAGUCGAGAGAUGGAGCGAAUCCUAAAAAGCCGAUCCCAGUUCGGAUUGUGGGCUGAAACUCGCCCACAUGAAGUUGGAGUUGCUAGUAAUCGCGAAUCAGCAUGCCGUGGUGAAUGCGUUCCCGGGUCUUGUACACACCGCCCGUCACACCAUGGAAGUUGGGGGGACCCGAAGCCAGUGAUCCAACCGUAAGGAGGAAGCUGUCGAAGGUAAAACCAAUGACUGGGGUGAAGUCGUAACAAGGUAACC
RNAcentral lists this ribosomal RNA (1531 nucleotides) under uncultured bacterium. RNAcentral's name for it is "16S ribosomal RNA". It matches the Rfam family "Bacterial small subunit ribosomal RNA". The record is from RNAcentral.